UACAGAGGGUGCAAGCGUUGCUCGGAAUUAUUGGGCGUAAAGGGUAGGUAGGUGGUCUCAUUUGUGUGGGGUGAAAGCCUUGGGCUUAACUCAAGAAGUGCCCCGCAAACGGUGAGACUGGAGUACUGGAGAGGCUAGCGGAAUUCCCGGUGUAGCGGUGAAAUGCGUAGAGAUCGGGAGGAACACCAGAGGCGAAGGCGGCUAGCUGGACAGUUACUGACACUCAACUACGAAAGCGUGGGGAGCAAACAGG
Molecule: ribosomal RNA, 253 nt
Filed under: uncultured bacterium
Lineage: Bacteria
Description: partial 16S ribosomal RNA
Rfam family: Bacterial small subunit ribosomal RNA
Source: RNAcentral